Molecule: transfer RNA, 72 nt
Filed under: Dreissena polymorpha
Lineage: Eukaryota; Metazoa; Mollusca; Bivalvia; Myida; Dreissenidae
Description: transfer RNA threonine (anticodon AGU)
Rfam family: tRNA
About the family: Transfer RNA (tRNA) molecules are approximately 80 nucleotides in length. Their secondary structure includes four short double-helical elements and three loops (D, anti-codon, and T loops). Further hydrogen bonds mediate the characteristic L-shaped molecular structure. tRNAs have two regions of fundamental functional importance: the anti-codon, which is responsible for specific mRNA codon recognition, and the 3' end, to which the tRNAs corresponding amino acid is attached (by aminoacyl-tRNA synthetases). tRNAs cope with the degeneracy of the genetic code in two manners: having more than one tRNA (with a specific anti-codon) for a particular amino acid; and 'wobble' base-pairing, i.e. permitting non-standard base-pairing at the 3rd anti-codon position.
Source: Rfam by way of RNAcentral
GGCUCCAUGGCUCAGUGGCAGAGCGCCUGUCUAGUAAACAGGAGAUCGUGGGUUCGAUACCCACUGGAGCCU